RNAcentral lists this ribosomal RNA (764 nucleotides) under Staphylococcus pseudintermedius. Its description in RNAcentral is "partial 23S ribosomal RNA". It matches the Rfam family "Bacterial large subunit ribosomal RNA", at positions 425 to 1191 of the family's 2925-position model. The record is from RNAcentral. Lineage: Bacteria; Bacillati; Bacillota; Bacilli; Caryophanales; Staphylococcaceae.
CGUGAAAUUCCGUCGGAAUCUGGGAGGACCAUCUCCUAAGGCUAAAUACUCUCUAGUGACCGAUAGUGAACCAGUACCGUGAGGGAAAGGUGAAAAGUACCCCGGAAGGGGAGUGAAAGAGAACUUGAAACCGUGUGCUUACAAGUAGUCAGAGCCCGUUAAUGGGUGAUGGCGUGCCUUUUGUAGAAUGAACCGGCGAGUUACGAUCUGAUGCAAGGUUAAGCAGAAAAUGUGGAGCCGUAGCGAAAGCGAGUCUGAAUAGGGCGAAUGAGUAUUUGGUCGUAGACCCGAAACCAGGUGAUCUACCCUUGGUCAGGUUGAAGUUCAGGUAACACUGAAUGGAGGACCGAACCGACUUACGUUGAAAAGUGAGCGGAUGAACUGAGGGUAGCGGAGAAAUUCCAAUCGAACUUGGAGAUAGCUGGUUCUCUCCGAAAUAGCUUUAGGGCUAGCCUCAAGUGAUGAUUAUUGGAGGUAGAGCACUGUUUGGACGAGGGGCCCCUCUCGGGUUACCGAAUUCAGACAAACUCCGAAUGCCAAAUAAUUUAACUUGGGAGUCAGAAUGUGGGUGAUAAGGUCCAUAUUCGAAAGGGAAACAGCCCAGACCACCAGCUAAGGUCCCAAAAUAUAUGUUAAGUGGAAAAGGAUGUGGCGUUGCCCAGACAACUAGGAUGUUGGCUUAGAAGCAGCCAUCAUUUAAAGAGUGCGUAAUAGCUCACUAGUCGAGUGACACUGCGCCGAAAAUGUACCGGGGCUAAACAUAU